ACAGAGGUUUUGUUCAGUUCACUACUGGAUUCCUAAUACUUGGAACAGUGCCUGGACAGAGUAGGUGCUUAAAACUUAUUUUUGAGUCAAUGGAUAAUUGACAUGGCUGGUUUGAACUUCUGGAUCUUUUGCUUUGCUUUCACACAAGGAUUACUUAUACCAAUACUUUAUUUUAAAAUCUCUGGAAAUGAGACCAUCUGAAAUCAGAUAAAUAUGGCUUCAGAUACCAGCUCUGGCACUACUAGUUGCAUGAUCAUCAAUAUGUUACUUCUCUGUGCCUUAGUUUCCACAUCUGAAAAUUGAGGGUAAGAGUCCCUCUCUAGAUUUGUGAAUGGGAUGAACACAGGAUUUUAAGUACGGUUAGCCAGCAUCCAAGAUGGCCUCAAUGAUCUCUGCCUCUGGUAUUUAUGCCCUUGAGUAAUCCCAUUCCACAUGUCUCGGGUUGGUCUGUGUGUCUUAUAGAAUAUGGCUUGAAGUGAGGUUAUGUGGCUUCUGAAGCUAUCACAAUGUCAUAAAGGACACUGUGACUUCUGUCUUGCUCCAUUUCUGGGGUCACUUGCACUAGAGGAAGUCAGCUACUAAAUUACAAAGAAAUUCCAGCAACCACAAGGAGAGGUCCACAAAGUGAGAGAUUGAACCCUCGAGCUAACAAGCAUGUGAGUGAGACAUGUUGGAAGUGGAUUCUCCAGCUCCAGUCAAGCCUUCAGAUGAAUGCAGCUCCAGCCAACAUCUCACUGCAGCUUUAUGAGAGCCUCUGAGCUGGAGCCACUAGGCCAAGCUGUUCCCAAAUUCCUGACUCUCAGAAACUUGUGCAUAGGAAGAAUCUGGGGACCUUGUGGAAAGUGCAGCUCCCAGACACCUGCCUCAACUGACUCUGUGGAUGUGGAGCGGGCCCUGCCACUCCCCAUUUUUAACCUACUGGGGAGAGAACGGGAGGCAAAACUACAAACCUGAAAAUAAAGUGGCUAAGUGGCUUCUCAAACUCUUUCCAAGUCUCUAAACACCGCUGAGUCUGGAUUGUCACUGUGCUCUACAGAGGAAACGAAGACCAAGAAUUAAGCAGCUCGAUUUUCCAGUGCAGACUGUUUGACCUUUGUGACUAGUAAACCACUCCUUUUAUUAAGGCCAAAUCUGCAAAAUCUGUCUUAAAGAAAAUGGUCAGUCUUUCCUUUCUUCUAAACAUCUCUGAUUUUUUCAUCUUGUUUCCUGACUAUUCACAGACAGCAACAAUAACAGAUUCUGGAAAGAAGGAUUUGUAAUGAGGAAAUCAAGGCAGUGAGAUAAAGCAACUUGCCUGAGGUCACCCAGUUGGCAAGCUGGGGCACAGAUUUUCAGAGGUUUCUGGGAUUCCAAACCCUGUGCUCUCGGGCAUUUGUCUGAGAAAACUCUCAGGGAAGGUGUGGGCUUGUCGCCCCUGGAGGCCUUCCAGCUCCGACGUUUUGAAGCCUGGCUCCCAGAUUAAACUCCCUUCGGAUCCCAUUUUCUGAAGGGUCGCAAAAGCUGGGGGCUGGGUGGGGUAAGCUAGGGGACAACAGCGGCUCCGGCCGCCGCCUGAGCCCUUCAAGAUCAGCAUCCGGUCAAGCGGCUGUGCAGCCGAGAAGCAACCCGGGACUGCAAGUCUGCGUG
RNAcentral lists this long non-coding RNA (1626 nucleotides) under Homo sapiens (human). RNAcentral describes it as "HSALNT0330313". Lineage: Eukaryota; Metazoa; Chordata; Mammalia; Primates; Hominidae. The record is from RNAcentral.